RNAcentral lists this ribosomal RNA (492 nucleotides) under uncultured bacterium. RNAcentral's name for it is "partial 16S ribosomal RNA". It matches the Rfam family "Bacterial small subunit ribosomal RNA", at positions 28 to 507 of the family's 1533-position model. The record is from RNAcentral.
GAUGAACGCUAGCUACAGGCUUAACACAUGCAAGUCGAGGGGAAACGGCAUUGAGUGCUUGCACUCUUUGGACGUCGACCGGCGGACGGGUGAGUAAAGCGUAUCCAACGUUCCCAUUACUGUGGGAUAACCUGCCGAAAGGCAGACUAAUACCGCAUAGUCUUCGAUGACGGCAUCAGAUUUGAAGUAAAGGUUUAUCGGUAAUGGAUGGGGAUGCGUCUGAUUAGCUUGUUGGCGGGGUAACGGCCCCCCAAGGCUACGACCAGUAGGGGUUCUGAGUGGAAGGUCCCCCACAUUGGAACUGAGACACGGUCCAAACUCCUACGGGAGGCAGCAGUGUGGAAUAUUGGUCAAUGGACGGAAGUCUGACCCAGCCAAGUAGCGUGCAGGAGGACGGCCCUAGGGGUUGUAAACUGCUUUUGUAUGGGGAUAAAGUUAGGAACGUGUCCCUAUUUGCAGGUACCAUACGAAUAAGGACCGGCUAAUUCCGUG